This 253-nucleotide ribosomal RNA is filed under the name uncultured bacterium. Its description in RNAcentral is "partial 16S ribosomal RNA". It matches the Rfam family "Bacterial small subunit ribosomal RNA", at positions 524 to 776 of the family's 1533-position model. The record is from RNAcentral.
UACAGAGGGUGCAAGCGUUAAUCGGAAUUACUGGGCGUAAAGCGUGCGCAGGCGGUUUCGUAAGUCUGGCGUGAAAUCCCCGGGCUCAACCUGGGAAUUGCGAUGGAGACUGCGAGGCUAGAGUUUGGCAGAGGGGGGUAGAAUUCCACGUGUAGCAGUGAAAUGCGUAGAGAUGUGGAGGAACACCGAUGGCGAAGGCAGCCCCCUGGGUCAAAACUGACGCUCAUGCACGAAAGCGUGGGGAACAAACAGG